GACGAACGCUGGCGGCGUGCUUAACACAUGCAAGUCGAACGAUGAAGCUGGAGCUUGCUCCGGUGGAUUAGUGGCGAACGGGUGAGUAACACGUGAGCAAUCUGCCCUUGACUCUGGGAUAACUGCGGGAAACUGUAGCUAAUACCGGAUACGAGGCUCGAAGGCAUAUUCGGGUCUGGAAAGAAUUUCGGUCAAGGAUGAGCUCGCGGCCGAUCAGAGUGUUGGUGAGGUAAUGGCUCACCAAGGCGACGACGGGUAGCCGGCCUGAGAGGGUGACCGGCCACACGGGGACUGAGACACGGCCCAGACUCCUACGGGAGGCAGCAGUGGGGAAUAUUGCACAAUGGGCGAAAGCCUGAUGCAGCAACGCCGCGUGAGGGAUGAAGGCCUUCGGGUUGUAAACCUCUUUUAGCAGGGAAGAAGCGAAAGUGACGGUACCUGCAGAAAAAGCACCGGCUAACUACGUGCCAGCCGCCGCCGUAA
This 483-nucleotide ribosomal RNA is filed under the name uncultured bacterium. RNAcentral describes it as "partial 16S ribosomal RNA". It matches the Rfam family "Bacterial small subunit ribosomal RNA", at positions 28 to 523 of the family's 1533-position model. The record is from RNAcentral.